This 245-nucleotide ribosomal RNA is filed under the name uncultured bacterium. RNAcentral's name for it is "partial 16S ribosomal RNA". It matches the Rfam family "Bacterial small subunit ribosomal RNA", at positions 15 to 257 of the family's 1533-position model. The record is from RNAcentral.
GAUCCUGGCUCAGGACGAACGCUGGCGGCGUGCUUAACACAUGCAAGUCGAACGCUGAAGCUCAGCUUGCUGGGUGGAUGAGUGGCGAAUGGGUGAGUAACACGUGAGUAACCUGCCCUCUUCUUUGGGAUAACGCCCGGAAACGGGUGCUAAUACUGGAUAUUCACUGAUCUUCGCAUGGGGGUUGGUGGAAAGGUUUUUUCUGGUGGGGGAUGGGCUCGCGGCCUAUCAGCUUGUUGGUGGGG